This 440-nucleotide long non-coding RNA is filed under the name Bos taurus (domestic cattle). RNAcentral's name for it is "long non-coding RNA NONBTAT022784". The record is from RNAcentral. Lineage: Eukaryota; Metazoa; Chordata; Mammalia; Artiodactyla; Bovidae.
CAUAUGCUUUGCUUUAUUAGAAUUCAUUACCUGGGAAACACAUGAGAAACAAUAUCUUACUACAAUGGACAGCCGUGCCCUCACCUUUGUUAAAACUAAAACGACAAAUAUUUGUCCUGAGACACUAUCAUGAUAAAGAAUUUAGGAAAACGACCUACUGACUAAUCCCUGAAACCUGUUUUUCUUUAUUUCCAUUACUACUCCCAGGGUAUCUCUAGAUUUUUUUUUCACCCCUUCCUGAUGGCAAAUACCAUUGGUGUUUUGAGGAUGAGAUGGGAGAGACUAUAGCUGUUGAAUUCCUUGUUUUAUUUGCAUAUCUCCCACCUAUUUAAAAGAACACAUCUUAGCACACAAAGUAUUUUUCCAGGUAUAAAAUCUCUGGUUUCAACCCCCAGGCAUAACAAGUCCUGUGUGCUUCCAGCACUGAGUCAACCUAUUUG